RNAcentral lists this long non-coding RNA (1239 nucleotides) under Olea europaea subsp. europaea. The record is from RNAcentral. Lineage: Eukaryota; Viridiplantae; Streptophyta; Magnoliopsida; Lamiales; Oleaceae.
CUACAUUACCCUCAUCCACUCUCUUUUCUCUCUGUUCAUUCUUUUUCUUGUAGCAGUCUUUAAUAAAAUGACCAGUUUUUCCACAUCCAUAACACUUUCUAUUUCCAGUCCUAGACCUUGACCUAGGUCUUCCUUUCCAUUUCUUCUUGUUAUUGUUACUCCCUUGAUUAUAUUGAUUUUCAUGACUACCACCUUGCCAGGUAAGUGAUCUACCUCUAACAAAUAAACUUUCAAGUUCCCUUCCAUGCCUUCAAGAUUUAAGUUCUAAUUCUUUACUUCUUAAAGAAUUAAUAACAACUUCAGGGGUUAACUCAUCCCUACCAUACUUAAUAGCAGUUUUAACAUCUCUAUAGGCUUCAGGUAAUGAGUUUAGAAGAAUAACAGCUUUGUAUUCUUCAGAAACUUUAUCACCCGCAUUAGUUAUAUCUUGAACUAGUUUAUUAAAGAUGUCAAGAUUGUCUUCUAAAUCUUUGGAAGGGUCUAUUUUAAAACUGAAAAAACUUUCCAAAAGAAAUAUUUUAUUUGGUAAAGAUUUUGUUAAAUACAGUUCUUCAAAUUUAUCCCAUAAAGCUUUAGCCUUAUCAAGUUUUCCAACCUUUCUUAACACUUGGUCAGAUAAAUGCAGUAUGAUAGAGGUAUAGGCAUGUUCAUCAGAUUCUGUUUUUUGUUCUUCAGUCAUAGUCUCAGGAAAAUCAGCAGUUAUAGCUUUUACAACUUUCUGUUGAGCAAGAAUCCCUCUAAUUUUUUGUUGCCAAAUGGGGAAAUCCCCUUUUCCAUUAAAAAUCCCAAGUUCAAACUUAGUAGUUGACAUUUGAAGUUCUUAAUCAACACAAGAAAAAUUAUUGGAGGUUCAAUGUUCAGCAAGAAAAGUAGAUACAGAAUAAGAAAUUUGACAAUACUUAAAGUCAGACAAGUUAUUCAGUACCAAGAAGUUUCAAGAAUCAAAGGAAAAAGUAUAAGUACACAAAGUAUUCACAAUAUCAAGAAGUAGCAGUGUGUUCAAUGCAAUACACUUUAGGCCUUAAAUGCCCAAGUUCACCAGGAUUCCGUGAGGAUCAUGUCCUCAGGUCAAGGCUCAACUUGGGGCAUCAAGACCAAAAACAGGAAAUGAUAUUACCAAUGUUUCACACAGAACUAGAACACAAAUGCAGUUUACAAAUUGUGUAACUACAGAUGUAUAUCAUAUAUAUACAGCACGAACAAAAAAUUGAUUAAGUGUUAUGUUAGGUCAGAACUGCA